GUGGCUGGCCUCAGUGGUGGCUGCACUUGCUAGACGUGGAAUGCAGCCAUGAGCAGCCACGAACAGCAAAGCAAAUGGUUCCUGCCGACAGUGUCUGAAGAGCUAUCGGGAUGUCUGUGCGAUGGUUCCAUACACU
RNAcentral lists this small nucleolar RNA (136 nucleotides) under Merops nubicus (carmine bee-eater). The record is from RNAcentral. Lineage: Eukaryota; Metazoa; Chordata; Aves; Coraciiformes; Meropidae.